GAUGAACGCUGGCGGCGUGCCUAAUACAUGCAAGUCGAGCGAACAGACGAGGAGCUUGCUCCUCUGACGUUAGCGGCGGACGGGUGAGUAACACGUGGAUAACCUACCUAUAAGACUGGGAUAACUUUGGGAAACCGGAGCUAAUACCGGAUAAUAUAUUGAACCGCAUGGUUCAAUAGUGAAAGACGGUUUUGCUGUCACUUAUAGAUGGAUCCGCGCCGCAUUAGCUAGUUGGUAAGGUAACGGCUUACCAAGGCAACGAUGCGUAGCCGACCUGAGAGGGGGAUCGGCCACAAGGGAACUGAGAAAAGGUCCAGACUCCUAAGGGAGGGAGCAGUAGGGAAUCUUGCGCAAUGGGCGAAAGCCUGAAGGAGCAAAGCCGCGGGAGGGAAGAAGGUCUUCGGAUCGGAAAACUCUGUUAAUAGGGAAGAACAAAUGUGUAAGUAACUAUGCACGUCUUGACGGUACCUAAUCAGAAAGCCACGGCUAACUACGUG
RNAcentral lists this ribosomal RNA (497 nucleotides) under uncultured bacterium. RNAcentral describes it as "partial 16S ribosomal RNA". It matches the Rfam family "Bacterial small subunit ribosomal RNA", at positions 28 to 507 of the family's 1533-position model. The record is from RNAcentral.